RNAcentral lists this ribosomal RNA (466 nucleotides) under uncultured bacterium. RNAcentral describes it as "partial 16S ribosomal RNA". It matches the Rfam family "Bacterial small subunit ribosomal RNA", at positions 28 to 507 of the family's 1533-position model. The record is from RNAcentral.
GAUGAACGCUGGCGGCGUGCUUAACACAUGCAAGUCGAACGGAAAGGCUCCUGCUUGCAGGGGUACUCGAGUGGCGAACGGGUGAGUAACACGUGGGUGAUCUGCCCUGCACUUCGGGAUAAGCUUGGGAAACUGGGUCUAAUACCGGAUAGGACCGCAUUUUGGAUGGUGUGGUGGAAAGUUUUUUCGGUGUGGGAUGAGCUCGCGGCCUAUCAGCUUGUUGGUGGGGUAAUGGCCUACCAAGGCGUCGACGGGUAGCCGGCCUGAGAGGGUGUACGGCCACAUUGGGACUGAGAUACGGCCCAGACUCCUACGGGAGGCAGCAGUGGGGAAUAUUGCACAAUGGGCGCAAGCCUGAUGCAGCGACGCCGCGUGGGGGAUGACGGCCUUCGGGUUGUAAACUCCUUUCGCUAGGGACGAAGAGUAAUUGACGGUACCUUGAGAAGAAGCACCGGCUAACUACGUG